GUGAAGCUGGAUUCGCUAGUAAUCGCGCAUCAGCCAUGGCGCGGUGAAUACGUUCCCGGGCCUUGUACACACCGCCCGUCAAGCCAUGGGAGCCGGGGGUGCUUGAAGUGCGUCGCCGCAAGGCGCGCCCUAGAGCAAAACCGGUGACUGGGGCUAAGUCGUAACAAGGUACC
RNAcentral lists this ribosomal RNA (173 nucleotides) under uncultured bacterium. RNAcentral describes it as "partial 16S ribosomal RNA". It matches the Rfam family "Bacterial small subunit ribosomal RNA", at positions 1320 to 1500 of the family's 1533-position model. The record is from RNAcentral.